GCCUGGGUGGCUCAGUCAGUUGAGCAUCUGACUUCGGCUCAGGUCAUGAUCUCACAGUUAGUGGGUUCGAGCCCUGCGUCGGGCU
This 85-nucleotide transfer RNA is filed under the name Felis catus (domestic cat). It matches the Rfam family "tRNA". Rfam says of the family: Transfer RNA (tRNA) molecules are approximately 80 nucleotides in length. The record is from Rfam by way of RNAcentral. Lineage: Eukaryota; Metazoa; Chordata; Mammalia; Carnivora; Felidae.